CAGUAGCCGCGGUAAUACGGAGGGUGCAAGCGUUAAUCGGAAUUACUGGGCGUAAAGCGCACGCAGGCGGUUUGUUAAGUCAGAUGUGAAAUCCCCGAGCUUAACUUGGGAACUGCAUUUGAAACUGGCAAGCUAGAGUCUUGCAGAGGGGGGUAGAAUUCCAGGUGUAGCGGUGAAAUGCGUAGAGAUCUGGAGGAAUACCGGUGGCGAAGGCGGCCCCCUGGACAAAGACUGACGCUCAGGUGCGAAAGCGUGGGGAGCAAACAGGAUUAGAUACCCCAGUAGUCCCUGUCUCUUAUAC
Molecule: ribosomal RNA, 301 nt
Filed under: uncultured bacterium
Lineage: Bacteria
Description: partial 16S ribosomal RNA
Rfam family: Bacterial small subunit ribosomal RNA
Source: RNAcentral